GACGAACGCUGGCGGCGUGCCUAACACAUGCAAGUCGUACGGGACCGGGGGCAACUCCGGCCCAGUGGCAGAUGGGUGCGUAACACGUGAGGAACUUGUCCGACGGUGGGGGAUAGCCGGCCCAACGGCCGGGUAAUACCGCAUACGCUCGCUUGGGGACAUCCCCGGGCGAGGAACGCAGCCGCAAGGUUGCGCCGAUGGAGAGCCUCGCGGCCUAUCAGCUUGUUGGCGGGGUAAUGGCCCACCAAGGCGACGACGGGUAGCUGGUCUGAGAGGAUGGCCAGCCACAUUGGGACUGAGACACGGCCCAGACUCCUACGGGAGGCAGCAGUGGGAAUAUUGCGCAAUGCCGCAAGGCUGACGCAGCGACGCCGCGUGUGGGAUGACGGCCCUCGGGUUGUAAACC
RNAcentral lists this ribosomal RNA (406 nucleotides) under uncultured bacterium. Its description in RNAcentral is "bacterial SSU rRNA". It matches the Rfam family "Bacterial small subunit ribosomal RNA", at positions 28 to 431 of the family's 1533-position model. The record is from RNAcentral.